UUAAAACUCAAAUGAAUUGACGGGGGCCCGCACAAGCGGUGGAGCAUGUGGUUUAAUUCGAUGCAACGCGAAGAACCUUACCUGGUCUUGACAUCCACGGAAGUUUUCAGAGAUGAGAAUGUGCCUUCGGGAACCGUGAGACAGGUGCUGCAUGGCUGUCGUCAGCUCGUGUUGUGAAAUGUUGGGUUAAGUCCCGCAACGAGCGCAACCCUUAUCCUUUGUUGCCAGCGGUCCGGCCGGGAACUCAAAGGAGACUGCCAGUGAUAAACUGGAGGAAGGUGGGGAUGACGUCAAGUCAUCAUGGCCCUUACGACCAGGGCUACACACGUGCUACAAUGGCGCAUACAAAGAGAAGCGACCUCGCGAGAGCAAGCGGACCUCAUAAAGUGCGUCGUAGUCCGGAUUGGAGUCUGCAACUCGACUCCAUGAAGUCGGAAUCGCUAGUAAUCGUGGAUCAGAAUGCCACGGUGAAUACGUUCCCGGGCCUUGUACACACCGCCCGUCACACCAUGGGAGUGGGUUGCAAAAGAAGUAGGUAGCUUAACCUUCGGGAGGGCGCUUACCACUUUGUGAUUCAUGACUGGGGUGAAGUCGUAACAAGGUAACCGUAGGGGAACCUGCGGUUGGAUCAC
RNAcentral lists this ribosomal RNA (632 nucleotides) under Escherichia coli. Its description in RNAcentral is "bacterial SSU rRNA". It matches the Rfam family "Bacterial small subunit ribosomal RNA", at positions 894 to 1526 of the family's 1533-position model. RNAcentral also lists the same sequence under 2 other names. The record is from RNAcentral. Lineage: Bacteria; Pseudomonadati; Pseudomonadota; Gammaproteobacteria; Enterobacterales; Enterobacteriaceae.